This 1491-nucleotide long non-coding RNA is filed under the name Diabrotica virgifera virgifera (western corn rootworm). RNAcentral describes it as "uncharacterized LOC126891726". The record is from RNAcentral. Lineage: Eukaryota; Metazoa; Arthropoda; Insecta; Coleoptera; Chrysomelidae.
UACCAAUGGCUGAGCAUGGAAAGAUGCACCUCCAUGUCAAAAAUUAUGCGAUUUUAUCCAAAAUUAUGCGCUCUGUCGUAAAACGUAAAAACAAUUUUAACCUUUACUGCGCAUGCGCAGAAAUUCAAAAGUCUUGACGUGUCAAAGCAUUUUUUUGACAAAUGACAUUAAAUAUUUUUGUAAAUAAAUAUUUACGAACAACCUAUCAAAUUUUUACAUGUAAUAAGAUCUUAGACCCAAAUAAAAAUUAAAAUCAUUAAAAAGGGAGUUGUUAAAAUACUUUUGCAUAUUAUGGAUAUAAAAUGGGGAAUUUAUGGACAAUGUAUUAUUAGGGAAUAGUGGACAAGUCCUCAACUACCUAAAAUGACACCAUUAGAAGAUUCACCAAGAAUUGUGAUUGAAAGAACAUUUGGUAUUUUGAAGAGAUUUCCCAUUUUAACGUGUGUAAUAAGAAGCAAGUUACCAUUUUUUCAAAGAAUAAUAUGAGCUUGUUGAGUUCUACAUAAUAUUGCAUUAGUUAAUAGAGGAAACAUUGAAAUACUGACAAAUAAGUGUGCUGUUGAUAUUGAUAUAGAACAUUUUCAACCAGAAGCAAAUCUACACUAAAAUCAUAAUAAAGAUGCACAGAAAUAAACAAACCAAGACACGUUGAAUGUUACGAGGAGCACUCCCGAAUCAUGAUUUACAAUGUAUAAAUUUUGUAAAUCAUUAUUUGGGAUUUACAAUGUAUUCACAUUGUAAAUUAUGAUUUGGGAGUGCUCCUCGUAACAUUCAACGUGUCUUGGUUUGUAUUAGUGAUGUAACAAAUGUCAUUUUUUUAACAUUCGUGAAUACGAUUGUGAAUAUCUGCUAACAACAUUCGUGAAUGCGGAUGCGAAUGCAAAUGUUGAGUUUUUUAAAUUUGUUUCUAUUUUUGCAGUGGUUUAUUUUAUAAUGAAAAAUUAAUUGAUAUUUAGUGAAAAUCAAUGUGAAUCUUAAAGCUUUAUUGCAUAAUAGCAAAUAAUAAAAUAAAGUGAAGACUGAUAAUGUACCUAGAAGUAAGUACCUUCUCUGAAUAAAUAAAGAUGAAAAGUGAAUAGAUUUUGAAAAAUAUGAGAAUAUUCGCGAAUGCGAAUACGAAUAUUUGUUACAUCAUUAGUUUGUUUAUAUCUGGUGCAUCUUUAUUGUGAUUCUAGUAUAGUGCAACUAAAUUUUGUGUGUUUGUUUUAAAAUAUUAUUCAUAAAUUCAAGACAAGCUUACUGUUGUAAUUUUAUUUUUACUGGACUGCAGUUUGUUAAUAAUUUUAUAAAUAAAUAUAUUAUGUAGUAGCUGAUUUUAAGUAUUUUAUUAUUAUUAGCAGUUUAUAAAUACAUAAUUGAUAUUGGUGUUUGAUUUUACGUAUCAUUUAAAAUAUAUUACAUCUCUUUUGAAAAAGUAAUAUUUUGAUUAAAAACUUUACAGAUUCUACUUUAUAAAGGAUUAAAAUUUCAAAAAUAAAUACUUAAACAUUA